AAUUUCCCCACCAUCCGAAAAUUCAACAAACAAAUCAUAUAGUGCUGCAAUAUAAACUAAACAGUUUGAAAUAGUUGGAUAAUAUUGCCUAGAAAAUGCAUUAGUAGCAAUUUGAAAAUGUUCUAAAAAAUCUUUAACAAUUUUAACAUUCGUCCAAUCUUGAUUUUUAAGGAUUUCAUCAUCAUCCUCACCACCAACACGAGAAUUAAACGUUGCAUUAAUUGAGUUUGUAUACUCAUAUGCAACAACUAAACUUUCAUGCAUAUAAUUCCAUCUAAUUGGACAAGGUUUAGGGACCUUUCUUUCUCUAAGGCCC
This 316-nucleotide long non-coding RNA is filed under the name Nicotiana benthamiana. RNAcentral's name for it is "long non-coding RNA (NBEN_LNC013490)". Lineage: Eukaryota; Viridiplantae; Streptophyta; Magnoliopsida; Solanales; Solanaceae. The record is from RNAcentral.